Molecule: ribosomal RNA, 440 nt
Filed under: uncultured bacterium
Lineage: Bacteria
Description: partial 16S ribosomal RNA
Rfam family: Bacterial small subunit ribosomal RNA
Source: RNAcentral
CCUUCGGGAGGCAGCAGUGGGGAAUAUUGGACAAUGGGGGAAACCCUGAUCCAGCGACGCCGCGUGAGUGAAGAAGUAUUUCGGUACGUAAAGCUCUAUCAGCAGGAAAGAAAAUGACGGUACCUGACUAAGAAGCCCCGGCUAACUACGUGACAGAAGCCGCGGUAAUACGUAGGGGGCAAGCGUUAUCCGGAUUUACUGGGUGUAAAGGGAGCGUAGACGGCAGCGAAAGUCUGGAGUGAAAUGCCGGGGCCCAACCCCGGAACUGCUCUGGAAACUGUGUAGCUGGAGUGCAGGAGAGGUAAGCGGAAGGCGUGGUGGAGCGGUGAAAUGCGUAGAUAGCAGGAGGAACACCGGCGGCGAAGGCGGCAUACUGGACUUUAACUGACGUUGAUGCUCGAAGGCGUGGGGAGCAAACAGGAGUAGAUACCCCAGUAGUC